AUGGCGCCGCGUUUCCUGGCGUGCUUCGGCAGGGGCGGCGCGACGGCCUCGGCGCCGGAGCCUGUGGAGGACCUGGCCCCGGGCCCGGUGCUGGUGGAGCUCUUCUCCUCGCAGGGGUGCGCGGCGUCGCCUGAGGCGGACGCCCUUGUGGCGCGGCUGGCGCAGGAGUCCUCCGAGGCCGGCGGCGGCGAGCGAGCGAUGGUGGUGCUGGGGUUCCACGUCGACUACUGGGACUACCGCGGGUGGAAGGACCCCUUCGCGUCCAGCGCCUGGACCGUGCGGCAGAAGGCGUACGUGGAGGCGCUCCGGCUGGACACGCUCUUCACGCCGCAGGUCGUCGUGCAGGGCCGCGCGGACUGCGUCGGCACCGAGCAGGACAAGCUCGCCCAGGCCGUCCGCGACGCGCCCCGCUACCCCUCGCCCGCCAUGAAGGUGAAGUUCCAGCGGCCGAACCCGAGCACGCUGCAGGCGUCCUUCACGGGCGCGCUCCACUCCCGCGUGGACGGCGGCGGGAGCGUGCUGGUGGCACUGUACGAGAGCGGCGUGAUCACCGACUGCGGCCGCGGCGAGAACAAGGGCAAGUCGUUGCUCAACGACCACGUGGUGCGCCGGCUGGAGAAGGUGGCCGCCGUGCGCGACGGCGCGUCCGCCAGGAAGGCCGUGUCCGGGUCCGUCCAGUUCCCGCUGUGGGACGACUUCCGCGCCACCAAGUGCGGCCUCGUCCUCUUCGUGCAGAACUCGGCGCUGCAGGUGCUCGGCGUCCAGCACUUCGACCUGCCCGACAACGUCUGA
RNAcentral lists this ribosomal RNA (792 nucleotides) under Triticum aestivum (bread wheat). RNAcentral describes it as "partial small subunit ribosomal RNA". The record is from RNAcentral. Lineage: Eukaryota; Viridiplantae; Streptophyta; Magnoliopsida; Poales; Poaceae.